Molecule: ribosomal RNA, 437 nt
Filed under: uncultured bacterium
Lineage: Bacteria
Description: bacterial SSU rRNA
Rfam family: Bacterial small subunit ribosomal RNA
Source: RNAcentral
AACGAACGCUGGCGGCAUGCCUAACACAUGCAAGUCGAACGAAGUCUUCGGACUUAGUGGCGCACGGGUGCGUAACGCGUGGGAAUCUGCCCUUGGGUACGGAAUAACUCAGAGAAAUUUGUGCUAAUACCGUAUAAUGACUUCGGUCCAAAGAUUUAUCGCCCAAGGAUGAGCCCGCGUAAGAUUAGCUAGUUGGUGGGGUAAAAGCCUACCAAGGCGACGAUCUUUAGCUGGUCUGAGAGGAUGAUCAGCCACACUGGGACUGAGACACGGCCCAGACUCCUACGGGAGGCAGCAGUGGGGAAUAUUGGACAAUGGGCGAAAGCCUGAUCCAGCAAUGCCGCGUGAGUGAUGAAGGCCUUAGGGUUGUAAAGCUCUUUUACCAGGGAUGAUAAUGACAGUACCUGGAGAAUAAGCUCCGGCUAACUCCGUGCCAG